GAUGAACGCUGGCGGCGUGCCUAAUACAUGCAAGUCGAGCGAACAGAUGAGGAGCUUGCUCCUCUGACGUUAGCGGCGGACGGGUGAGUAACACGUGGAUAACCUACCUAUAAGACUGGGAUAACUUCGGGAAACCGGAGCUAAUACCGGAUAAUAUAUUGAACCGCAUGGUUCAAUAGUGAAAGACGGUUUUGCUGUCACUUAUAGAUGGAUCCGCGCCGCACUAGCUAGUUGGUAAGGUAACGGCUUACCAAGGCGACGAUGCGUAGCCGACCUGAGAGGGUGAUCGGCCACACUGGAACUGAGACACGGUCCAGACUCCUACGGGAGGCAGCAGUAGGGAAUCUUCCGCAAUGGGCGAAAGCCUGACGGAGCAACGCCGCGUGAGUGAUGAAGGUCUUCGGAUCGUAAAACUCUGUUAUUAGGGAAGAACAAAUGUGUAAGUAACUAUGCACGUCUUGACGGUACCUAAUCAGAAAGCCACGGCUAACUACGUG
This 497-nucleotide ribosomal RNA is filed under the name uncultured bacterium. RNAcentral's name for it is "partial 16S ribosomal RNA". It matches the Rfam family "Bacterial small subunit ribosomal RNA", at positions 28 to 507 of the family's 1533-position model. The record is from RNAcentral.